UGAAAGACUAUGACGGAGACAAGUAGCACCGGAAAGCCAUUUUAGGGAUAAAUGCCUUGACUGAAAGCAUUUUAUGGGACUGCCAGUGUGAAAUUUCAGCUCUCGAGUCGGCAUCGGGAUAAUCCAAGGGUUGAAUGAUGCAUCGGUGAAAAGCCGUUAUCUUUGUCAAGUGAGCGCCGUUAGCAUUGGCGCUAAUAAGGGUGGUACCGCGAUUACAUAAACCUCGUCCCUUUC
This 234-nucleotide non-coding RNA is filed under the name Bacillus sp. (in: firmicutes). Its description in RNAcentral is "Bacillus sp. T-box sequence". It matches the Rfam family "T-box leader". From Rfam's summary of the family: Uncharged tRNA acts as the effector for transcription antitermination of genes in the T-box leader family. T-boxes are found upstream of many aminoacyl-tRNA synthetase genes and some amino acid biosynthetic genes usually in Gram-positive bacteria. Lineage: Bacteria; Bacillati; Bacillota; Bacilli; Caryophanales; Bacillaceae. The record is from RNAcentral.